RNAcentral lists this non-coding RNA (248 nucleotides) under Caloranaerobacter azorensis. RNAcentral's name for it is "T-box sequence". It matches the Rfam family "T-box leader". From Rfam's summary of the family: Uncharged tRNA acts as the effector for transcription antitermination of genes in the T-box leader family. T-boxes are found upstream of many aminoacyl-tRNA synthetase genes and some amino acid biosynthetic genes usually in Gram-positive bacteria. The anticodon of a specific tRNA base pairs to a specifier sequence within the T-box motif, and the NCCA acceptor tail of the tRNA base pairs to a conserved bulge in the T-box antiterminator hairpin. The record is from RNAcentral. Lineage: Bacteria; Bacillati; Bacillota; Tissierellia; Tissierellales; Thermohalobacteraceae.
GAAAAGACUAUGAAGAGAAGAGUAGAUAUGGAACGUAGUUCAAGCGAGUCGGUGAUGGUGGGAGACCGAUACGAAGUCCAUAUUGAAGAACAUCUCGGAGUCUCUAACCGAAAUCAUUAAGGAGAGUAGGCUUAGACGGAACCAAACCGUUAUUAUUUGGACAGUAUAGAGUGUUUCCUGUACUGGUAGAGUUGGCUGUAUAUGCAGCAAUUAGGGUGGCACCGCGAAAGUAACCUUUCGUCCCUUGU